GUUUAAAGAAUGUGACUUUUAAUUUGUAAUUCAUAUUGUUUUAUUCCUUUGCAUUGUUUUUUGAUUAAGUUUACUUUUGUUGUAGUCUAAAAAAUAUUUAAAAGACUGUAAUCAAUUUUAGGAUAUACGUAAUGAGUAAGAAAACAGGGCAAGUAAAGUGGUUUAACGAAAGCAAAGGUUUCGGUUUCAUCACUCCAGCCGAUGGUAGUAAAGAUGUAUUCGUUCACUUUUCUUCUAUUGCAGGUGAAGGAUUUAAAACUUUAGCUGAAGGACAAAAAGUUGAAUUCUCCAUUCAGGAUAGUCCGCGUGGACCAGCAGCAGCUGAAGUUGUUGUAAUAUAAGUAAAAAUAUUCAUUAGCUCAAAAUGAGUUAAAUUUAAAACCUACUUUGAAA
Molecule: small RNA, 393 nt
Filed under: Frischella perrara
Lineage: Bacteria; Pseudomonadati; Pseudomonadota; Gammaproteobacteria; Orbales; Orbaceae
Description: cspA thermoregulator
Rfam family: cspA thermoregulator
Source: Rfam by way of RNAcentral